RNAcentral lists this ribosomal RNA (1188 nucleotides) under Triticum aestivum (bread wheat). RNAcentral's name for it is "partial small subunit ribosomal RNA". The record is from RNAcentral. Lineage: Eukaryota; Viridiplantae; Streptophyta; Magnoliopsida; Poales; Poaceae.
AUGAAUACCUACAUUAAUUUGGCUUUCCUUGUUCAUAGAGCGAAGCGUAGUUACUGCUUGUUCAUAGUAUUUAUUUAUUUAAUUUACAGCGUAUCAAAAAACAUUAAUCAACCAGUCAGAAAAGCAGUACUGGUGUCGUUUCUUACAUCCUCAGAGCUCUCUCAGAUUGAUUACCAUCAUCUCUUGGUGUGGCUCCAAUCAACAGCCGAGGCGUCGGAAUCCAUUGUCGAAGUUGAAGUGUGGCUUGGCGGCGGCACCGCCCCUGAGGAUGUACUGGUGGUACGCCAUGGCCACGGCGGCGCCAGAAAACGGGCCGACCCAGAAGAUCCACUGCUCGCUCCACGCCUUGCUGUUGUUGUACACCACGGCGGCACCCAGGCUCCUCGCCGGGUUGAUCCCGGUGCCGGUGACGGGGAUGGUGGCCAGGUGCGCCACCACCACCGCGAACCCGAUGAGCAGCGGCGCCAGCACCGGCACGUGGGUGUCCCGCGCCAUGCGCUUCGGGUCGGUCGCCGAGAACACGGUGUACACGAGGACGAAGGUGCCGGCCGCCUCGGCCAGCAGCCCCCCCGCCUUGGAGUACCCCGGCGAGACCUCGUUGGCGCCGCCGCCGUAGAGCUCGUAGUACCGCGCGCCGUGCACGGCCCUGACCAUCGCCGCGCCGCAGAUGGCGCCGAGGCACUGCGCCGACGUGUAGAGGAGGGCGCGGGGGAGCGACAGCUUCCUCGCCAGCAGCAGCCCGAACGUCACGGCGGGGUUGACGUGGCCGCCGGAGAUGCCGGCGGUGCAGUAGACGAGGACGGCGAUCAUGCCGCCGAAGGCCCACGCGAUGCCCAGCACGCCGGCGCCGCUGCACGCUUCCGCGUCCGUCUGGCGCUUGUGGCCGAUCACGGUGGCGAUGGAGACGUAGACGAAGAGCAGACUGGCGGUGAACUCGGAGAUGAUGGCGCGGUACAGGGACCACUGGCCCAGCUCGCCGGCGUCGAACAGCCGCACGGCCGGAGGGUCGAGGUAGUCCUUGGUGACGCUGAUAUCGUUGUUACCAUGGGCCUCUCUACUCUGCUUGCCCUGUGCAGCGCCGGCCAUGUCGAUAUCGAUCGACCUCUAGCUCAGCUGAUUGAUUCGGGAAGAAAAGAAGAGAUCGAUGGAUGGAAAGAAUCAAGAAUCGGUGAAGUGUUCUGUCCAUAA